This 78-nucleotide microRNA precursor is filed under the name Schistosoma margrebowiei. RNAcentral describes it as "mir-3492 microRNA precursor family". It matches the Rfam family "mir-3492 microRNA precursor family". Lineage: Eukaryota; Metazoa; Platyhelminthes; Trematoda; Strigeidida; Schistosomatidae. The record is from Rfam by way of RNAcentral.
AGUCUUCUGUAUCCGUUCUGAGGUUUCGUCCCACAUCAGACCACAAGGGCUGAUGAGACUUCCAAGAUAAGUGAAGAG